Molecule: long non-coding RNA, 4986 nt
Filed under: Sus scrofa (pig)
Lineage: Eukaryota; Metazoa; Chordata; Mammalia; Artiodactyla; Suidae
Description: lncRNA (ENSSSCG00000050152.1)
Source: RNAcentral
GGGGGUCUUUUCUAGGGCCGUUCCUGAGGCAUAUGGAGAUUCCCAGGCUAGGGGUCUAAUCGGAGUUGUAGCCACUGGCCUAUGCCAGAGCCACAGUAACAAGGGAUCCAAGCCAUGUCUGCAACCUACACCACAGCUCACGGCAAUGCCAGAUCCUUAACCCACUGAGCAAGGCCAGGGAUCGAACCCUCAAAACCUCAUGGUUCCUAGUUGGAUUCGCUAACCACUGAGCCACGACGGGAACUCCUCAAAGGGAAUGUUUUAAACUAACCAAAGAUUAUCACCAACAUGCUCACAUUUGGGGUUCAUUUUAAAUUAAAAAUUCCACAUAGUAAGUGCAUAUCUUCAUUUAUUUAUUUAUUUGCUUUUUUAGGGCCACACCCGUGGCAUAUGUAAGUUCCCAGGCUAGGGGUUGAAUCAGAGCUGCAGCUGCCACCCCAUACCACAGCCACAGCAACGUGGCGUCUGGGCUGUGUCUGUGACCUACACCACAGCUCAUAGCAACACCAGAUUCCUAACCCACUGAGCGAGGCCAGGGAUUGAACCGGCAUCCUCAUUAAUACUAGUCGGGUUCCUUAACCAUUGAGCCACGAAGGGAACUCCCGCAUUUCUUUUUAAAAUUUUAUUUUAUAAGUUUGGAAAUACAAUCAAACAAAUGAAAAUAUGGGGGUAGAGUUCUUUUCCAAACUCCUGCUGUUCACACUUUUCUCUAAGAUGUACUUUGAAGCAGUCAAGAAUUAUGGCUUCAACAUGCCGCAGCCAUCCUGGUAUUCCUCAGCCAGCUUUAAACACAAAUAAGAGGGGCUGUUAGCCUGAGGCAAGGCAACUCCCAUUGCGUUGGCAUCAUUGCUACAACUACAGGCUAUUCCGCAGUGCCAGGCUCCACGUUCUUUCUAGCUACUUGAAUGAAGCUAAGUGUUUUCCCACAGGAGGCAUGUGAUGGAGAGCCCAGGUGUAUGGCCCUAGGAAUGAGGUUGGCCACAUUCUGAGUAGGGCCUGAUUCUGUGAUCAGCCAUAGCAGGGCCAGCCCUAAAGGAGCAGGUUGGGCAGCAGCCAACCUUAAGGACCCUGCAGGCAGCAGACAAGGGAACAGUAGCAGCGGGAGGGGGAACACCCAGGCAUGGAAUAGGAAUAGGCAGCUGCCAUUUGCAAUCUGCAACUUCCAGCUCAGGACAGUGCACCAGCUCCAGUGUACACUUACUCUCCAACAUGUUUCUUGGGCAAUUAUUUAGAAAAAAUAAUUUUGGAAAGGAGCUACUUUCAGUGUUAGACUAUAGUUGUCCAAGCCAUUUGAGGUGGUAUGCAGUUUUUGCAGUAUAAAGCAAAAAUCUCAGUAAUUAUUAUCUAAGGAUUAUUAAUAGCAGCCUAGUCAGUACAUGAUUCAGCUGAGGGUGAGAUGCCUAAGGCAAAAGGUAGAUUUAAAAAUGCCAUCAUACUGAAUUGUUUAAGUGUUUAUGAUUCACUACACUUUAAGCUGACAUGGAAGCAAAUCCAUACAUUAACCAAAUGGUUGUUUUUCCAUUUCUAAACUUUUUCAUUCUUUAAAAAAAAUUUUUUUUGGCUAUGCCUGAGGCAUGUGGAAGUUCCCAGGCCAGGGAUCGAAUAACAUGUCACAGCAGUGACCCAAGCCACUGCAGUGACAAUGCUGCACCACAAGGGAACUCCUUAAACUUUAUUCUUUUGAAUUUUAUCUCUUUGCUUAUUCCAUUUCAUUCUGUUUGACUAAAAUCAUUAAUGUGAUCCUGUAUUAUAUAUCAUUCAUUUGUGUGGGAGGCACCUAGACCCUCUGAGAAAAACAAUUAAAAGCUAUGUGAUCUGUAAUUGUUUAUUUAAUGACCAAUGUAUUUUUGAGUGCCUUCUGUGUGGCAGCCCUCUGAAAGGCACUGAGACUAAACAGACAAGAAAAGCAUCAUACUGAGAUGCUGGGUCAUGGAAUUAAAUGUCUCUUUCCCAGUAUCAUUUGCUACUCUGAUGAUUGGGUUCCAUUUUUAGAACAUUUGGAGGCUCAUGGAUAAUUGGAUAUUUUCAUAAACCCUAUUAAAUUGCAUAAUUUUAAAUUUCUAUGAUGAAAAACCAUGUAAGUCACAAAUCAUGAAUUAUUGUGAGUUAUAAUAAUAGGCAAAACUAAAAAUAUUCUUGCCUCAGACCCAUGUUUUCUGAAGUUAAUAAUGGGUGUUUUUGAGAGCACCCUCAAUGCACUUUUUAAUUUUCAAUCAGCAGAUAACAACACUUGAAUUCAAAGCAAAGUUACAUUGGUGCUCUGUUUAACACCAUGACAAGCACACUCCAAGCUUCCAGAAAAUGACUCAAGUGAAAACUGAACACAUUCCCACUGAGGAUUCUCUAAUCUGUCUUAGAAGGGGGAACACUGUGGUUCUUUGGUCAAGUACUUUUAAUUGAACAAAGUAGAGACAGCUUUUACCCUUCCUCAAUGUACUCACAAACAAUUGGCCUUUUAUUUUUUCUAUUCAGUAUCAUAUUAAACAAUCUGAAAUUUUCAUUUUCAAUAAUGAAAAUGAGAUUUUUAUUCUCUGAUUAACUUUUCUCAGAAGCAUUGUAAUGAAGUUAAUUUGAUUUACUGCAAUUUACAGUAUAUAUUGCUGCAGGCACUAAGCUAUCCACUGCCUUCCAUAAAAUCAAGACCACGCAGAAAAAAUACCUCCAUACAACUCAGAGAUGUAAAAAAAGGAAACAUUCCUGGAUGUAAGAUGGAUAUAUGCAUUUUUUUAAAAUGCUCAUCAUCAGUGGAAGGUAUGAUCAUCCUGAUGUUUGUAUUUGUGUGCAAGAUCAAUACAGCUGUAAAAUAGCAAAUACGUAUCUGAAGUAGUAUUUUAACAGCAGAGGAGGUUUUUAUUUUCUAGACUCCAUGUAUGAUUUCAGGUGAAAUGCUCAUUAGGAUUUUAGAGUUUGGGUGCAUAAAAGUUGACUCACUUACUUUCAAUAAUCUGAAAAGAGAGCAAAUAAAAACCAGAAAUUUGGGCUAAAAGAAGGAAAAGCCAAUUAAAUCCUCAACACUGCACUUAGCAAUGCUUUAAAUUCCUGAUUAAUAAUCCAUAAUAAAAAAUCCUGAGUGGAAGAUACUUUUACAAACGUCUCAAAUUACUAGUAACCUCUUCAUAUUAUAUGUGACCCUCUGAUUGAAUGUUUUCCUCUCCUAUCAAAGCAACCAGGGGAAAACCCACAAAAUACCAAAGUUCAACCUGCAUGAAAAAUCUAUUUGAUUUUUUUUAACCAUGAAAUUUGUAAUUUGAAAGUCCAAAAGAGAAUCUUCAGGCCCAGAAAGUACCAUACCAAACAUUUAAAAAAUUAAUGUCAGUUUUACAUAAUCUUGUCCAGAAAAUAGAAGAAAAGGGGGGCACUUCUCAUCUCUUUUGUAAAACCAGUAUUACCCCAACACCAAAACCAGGCAAAGACAGUACAGAAAGGAAACCUACACACCAAUCUCUCUCAAGAACUUAGAUGCGGAAUCCUCAACAAAAUAUUAACAAAUCAAACGCAACAAUGUGUAAAAAGCAUAUAACAUAACCAAGUGCAAUUUAUUCCAUAUAUGCAAGGCCAAUUAAAUAUUAAAAAAAUCAAUGUAAUCCACCAUAUAAACAAGCCUAAAGAAGAAAAAAAAAAGAGACAAAAACAAUGAUAGUAUCAGCUGACACAGGAAAAGCAUUUGACAAAGUCUAAUCCCACUCCAAAUAGCCAGAAAGCCCUGCUUUGGGAUCUGGUAGUGUUGACGGAACUCUCAGCCAGUUUUCCCAUUCUUGAUAUUCUCCCCAUUGGGCUGCACUUUGCAGGCCUAUUAGCCUUGUAGUUGCCCAGCCUCAAGACUGAAGAAAGAGCCCAGGGACAGUGACAGACACAUCAAUGGCUUAUUGGCAAGGGGAUCUUACAUGUCUAAAGCAAAAGGUCCUGGAGCAAACAUUCCAUGGCAGACAGCAACCCACUGCAACGAGGACCUGGCAGUGGGGGAGAAGGAGGCUACCAUUUAUAGGAGGAACAGACAUCAGGUUGGCUUAUCAGUUACCAAGGAAACCAGCAGCUGGGGCACAUCCCUCAGGUUAACAACCCUCAGGACCAUCAUGAGGGCAGAUGUUCCCCGUUAAUAAACUAGCAUGUGGAGUCAUUCUGGCCUAAGGAUUAGAAUAAUCACUAGCGGGGGAAGGGUGAAUUUUAAAAGAAAUACAUGGAUAGAAAUGGUGUAAAUUGAACACAGAUUUAUUGCGUCAUAAUUUCCCGUCAUCUAUUAGAAAUGCGAUUUUUUUCACAUGAGGAAAAUAGUAUUUUUUCUAAAAUAAUGUAGUUGGAAAGCUCAUAAUUACUCCUAUGGUAUACACUUUACUGGACUAAGCUAAUAAAUGCCAUGGUACUUCUGUUCCCAAGAUCUACUAUUAUACACUAACAUCUGAAUGAACACACUCAUUAUAUAGCCAGGAUAGCAAUUUCCACAUCUAGUGCUAAUGUACUUCCUGGCUAAAGCUGAAACUCUUAGGAGCAAUUAACUAAUUCAUGAAUUAAUAUUGUUUGGACAUUAGCCUUUAGAACUAAAUGGGGUAAUGUAUGUAAAGGGCUUAGCACAUUUCCUGCAUCAAGUCAGUACUCAAAUGAUAGCCAUUAGUAUCAGUAUUAUAAACUAAUGAUAUCAUGUGGUUUUCUACAUUGAUUAAUGCUGCUUGUAAAAAAAAUUUUUUUAAUGUAAAGCAUAUUCACACUAUACAUGUCUCAAAUUCAUUCUCAAAUAUAUGGUCCUAUAUGACAGAAACACUUUCAUGCUCUCACAAGUCUAAUCACUACUCCAUCAAUCGAAAGCUCAGUUACAACAUUUACUAACAAUUUUUCCCCGUAGUGGACUUCAGCCAUAUACAUGAUCAUGCAAUAUAUAUGCAUGUCAGUAAAAGCAAACGCUCCUAGCUAGUGCCUCCCUUAAAGCCUUUGCUGUAGAAAACUGUAUCGGUUGUGUACUGUGGAGAGCAGAUACCGAGACAUAGAGUUAGG